This 301-nucleotide ribosomal RNA is filed under the name uncultured bacterium. RNAcentral describes it as "partial 16S ribosomal RNA". It matches the Rfam family "Bacterial small subunit ribosomal RNA", at positions 509 to 807 of the family's 1533-position model. The record is from RNAcentral.
CAGCCGCCGCGGGAAUACGUAGGGUGCGAGCGUUAAUCGGAAUUACUGGGCGUAAAGCGUGCGCAGGCGGUUUUGUAAGACAGGCGUGAAAUCCCCGGGCUCAACCUGGGAAUGGCGCUUGUGACUGCAAAGCUAGAGUGCGGCAGAGGGGAAUGGAAUUCCGCGUGUAGCAGUGAAAUGCGUAGAUAUGCGGAGGAACACCGAUGGCGAAGGCAAUCCCCUGGGCCUGCACUGACGCUCAUGCACGAAAGCGUGGGGAGCAAACAGGAUUAGAUACCCCUGUAGUCCCUGUCUCUUAUAC